AGAUGUUAGUUGAUCUUGUCAAGUACUUAAUUUUUUUAGGGAUGGCAACAAUUACUAAAAUCAAUACUCGAGUACUCGGUCAUUUAGAGUAUUCGGUUACUGGGAUGAUUUCCAAUGAUCUUUAAAUUUUUAUCACACAAUAUCAACACCGUCUGCAUGCUACCUUCAUUUUCUAUUUUAAUUCAUAGAAUUUGUAGCUAUAAAUAGGAUUGCAAGAAAUACAUAUAAUAAAUAUAAGCAUAAGAAAUGUCAAUGACAGCAUUUAUUAUAUACCUAUAAAUUUUCUUCCUAAAACACAGGAUUAUCUUGAAGCGCAAAUAGUUUUCAACGGUUAGAAAAUUCUGUAUUAUGUUAGAGACAAAUACAGUACCAUAUAUGAAAGGCCUGGACUAUUUUUAUGCUCCCCAAAAAAUUUCGGGUGAGCAUAUAGUCGCCGCCUUGUCCGUCCGUCCGUCCGUCCAUCCCCUUUUCUUGUCCGGGACUUAACUUUGAAACAACAACAGGUAUUAACAUGAAACUUUGUAGGUAGAUAGAUCUCAUUGAGUAGGUGUGCAGUGCACAAGAACCUUAACUCUGCCUUGCUUAAUUUUUGAAUUAUUCCCCUUUGUUUAUUUUACACUUUGAACUUUGUCCGGGACAUAACUCUAAAACUAUAAGAGGUAUCAACAUGAAACUUUGUAGGUAGAUAGAUCUAAUUGAGUAGGUGUGCAGUGCACAAGAACCGUAACUCUGCCUUGUCUAAUUUUUGAAUUAUUCCCCUUUGUUUAUUUUUACACUUUGAACUUUGUCCGGGACAUAACUCUAAAACUAUAAGAGGUAUCAACAUGAAACUUUGUAGGUAGAUAGAUCUCAUUGACUUGGUAUGCAGUGUACAAGAACCGUAACUCUGCCUUGCCUAAUUUUUGAAUAAUCCCCUUUGUUUAUUUUACACUUUGAAAUUUGUCCGGGACAUAACCUUUAAACUAUAAGAGGUAUCAACAUGAAACUUUGUAGGUAGAUAGAUCUCAUUGACUUGGUAUGCAGUGCACAAGAACCGUAACUCUGCCUUGCCUAAUUUUUGAAUUAUCCCCCUUUCUUUAUUUUACACUUUGAACUUUGUCUCUAAAACUAUAACAGGUAUCAACAUGAAACUUUGUAGGUAGAUAGAUUUCAUUGAGUUGGUAAGCAGUGCACAAGAACCUUAACUCUCCCUUGCCUAAUUUUUUGAAUUAUCCCCCUUUGUUUAUUUUUACACUUUGAACUUUGUCCGAGACAUAACUCUCAAUGUAAAAGAGAUAUCAACAUGAAACUUUGUAGGUAGAUAGAUAUCGUUGAGUAAGUUUGCAGUGCACAAGAACUGUAACACUGUCUUGGCUACUUUUGGAGUUAUUGCCCUUUGAUCAUUUUGACACUUUGAACUUUGUCCGGGACAUUACUCUAAGCAGUGCUUAAGAAUUAUUACUCUGCCUUGCCUUAUUUUGAAGUAAUUGCCCUUUGUUUAUUUUUACUUUUUGACUUUUGUACGAGACAUAACUUUAAAACUAUUAGAGAUAUCAACAUGAAACUUUGUAGGUAGCUAGAUAUAAUUGGAUAGAACUGCAAUGCUUAAAGAACCUAAAGAAAGCCUGGUCUAAUUUUGGAGUUAUUACCCUAAUUUCAUUUUUACACUUUGAAUUUUACCUUGGACAUAACUCUGAUAUCAUCAGGCAACUUUAUAUAGAUGGAUAGAUCUAAUUGAAUAGAAGUGCAGUGCAAAAAAAAACAUAACUCCGCUUUGCCUAAUUUUGGGGUUUUUGCCCUUUGUUCAUUUUUUUUAUACUUUCCAGUGUCCAGAACCUUCUCGGGGAGCAUCACCCGGUUCAACCGGUUCUUGUUAAUGUUGGUUCUGAUCUUAGCUGUGUAUAACAUAGUAUAUGGAAACGGCAACCAAAAUAAUAAAAGGUGUGGCUGGUUUUGCACAAAUUACGUAUUCAUCUGUCAGUCAUAAUUUAUUUCUUGACAGCUACAUUUCUUUUUCUGAAAAUUUCUUAUAUAAGUGUAGUAUAAUGAAAAUCAUUUAUACUUCAAACGAAAAGGUAUAUUAUUAAAGGAAAAUUAUGUUGUAGUAGCUUUCUGAGGCUAUGCAUUUUUCUACUUGCAAUGUUGGAAAAUUGUUAUCUAGCUCGCCCUUUAGUCUCGCAAGAUAUCAAUUUCCCACCGCUGCUCAUAGCAAAAUAAAAAGCCUCAGAGAGCUACUACAACAUAAUAUUCUGUAUAUAUAUUUUUUUAUAAUUAACAAGUUUGGGCUAUCCUUGAACUUUUUUUUUAUUUAAUCAAGUUUGAUUUUUUUAAAAUAUAUUUUAUAUGAAUGCAUGCAGCUUUGAAAUAGAUUUUACUUAUGUAUAUUUGGCAGCAAUUUCACAUGUAGCUCUUCGAAAAAAAAUCACUUGAGCAAAAAAAAUUUUAUAGGCAUAAAGUGAUACCCGUUCUGUCAUCAUCAGUUUUUGGUUUUUAGCUCACCUGAGCUUGCUCAGGGUGAGCUUUAAGGAUCGGUGAAUGUCCGUCGUCCGUCCACAAUUGCUUGUGAACACUCUAGCGGUCGCAUUUUUGCCUCAAUCAUCAUCAAACUUGGUCAGGAUGCUUAUCUAGUUGAAAGCAUGGAUGAGUUCGAUCAUGAGUCAUCUCGGAUGAAAGACUAGGUCACAAGAGCUAAAAAAAGAAAAACCUUGUGAACACUGUAGAGGUCACAUUUUUGACCCAAUCAUCAUUAAACUUGGUCAAGAUGUUUGCCUAGGUGAUAGCUCGGAUGAGUUCGAACAUGGGUCAUCUCUGAUGAAAAAGUAGGUCACAGGAGCUAUAAAUAGAAACACCUUGUGAACACUCUAGUGGUCACAUUUUUAAACCAAUCAUCAUCAAACUUGGUCAGAAUGCUUGUCUAGUCAAUUGCUUGGAUGAGUUUGAACAUGGGUCAUCUCUGGUGAAAAACUAGGUCACAGGAGCUAAAAAUAGAAAAACCUUGUGAACACUCUAGUGGUCACAUUUUUGACCCAAUCAUCAUCACACUUUGUCAGGAUGCUUAUCUGGUUGAUAGCUCGGAUGAGUUCGAACAUGGGUCAUUUCGGAUGUAAAACUAGGUCACCGGAGCUAUAAAUAGAAAAACCUUGUUAACACUCUAGCAGUCACAUUUUUGCAUCAAUCAUCAUCAAACUUGGUCAGGAUGCUUAUCUAGUUGAUAUCUUGGAUGAGUUUGAACAUGGGUCAUCUCAGAUGAAAAAGUAGGUCACCGGAGCUAAAAAUAGAAAAACAUUGUUAACAAUUUAGCGGUCACAUUUUUGCAUCAAUCAUCAUCAAACUUGGUCAAGAUGCUUGUCUAUGUGAUAGCUCGGAUGAGUACAAACAUGGGUCAUCUCGGAUGAAAAAGUAGGUCACCGGAGCUAAAAAUAGAAAAACCUUGUUAACACUCUAGCAGUCACAUUUUUGCAUCAGUCAUCAUCAAACAGGGCUGCCGAUUUUCCGCGGAUCCGCGGAAAUCCGCGGAUUUCGUGAGCUCCUGGGUCAUUUUUGAGAUCGAUGUAAAUUCGACAAAGACAAUAAAUUCAUUCGUCAUAUUUUAUACAGUACCCAGAAACCGGCACGCUUCGGCUUUUAUCGUUACGCUAGCUGCCUAUGGUACGUCUGUAAGCGCUUUUCUCAUUGGUCAUAUCGAGUCUUUUCCGGCAUUCUAUUUUAGAAUAACCAAUCAAAUUACAGUUUACAUUGUCGCUCUUGUCUGUUGUCAAAAUGCGUCAAAAUGUCGGAUAUUUGUCAAAUUUAGAGUCCUGGAAAUUGAUUUUAGGGCAUACCAAAUCAUCAGAACCCAGGAGCUUUCGGGGGCUUCGCCCCCUGAACCCCCACCAGGGCUCUGCCCUGGACCUGCAAAGGGGGCUUACGCAGCCCCCUUGACCCCCGGCGUAUUUUCCGCUGAUUUUGAAAUUUGCUGUUGGCAGCCCUGAUCAAACUUUUGUCAAGAUGUUUGUCUAGUUGAUAGCUCGGAUGAGUUUGAACAUGGGUCAUCUUGGAUGAAAAAGUAGGUCACCUGGGGUAGAAAUAGAAAAACCUUGUUAACACUCUUGUGGUCACAUUUUUGCAUCAAUCAUCAUCAAACUUGAUUAAGAUGCUUGUCUAGGUGAUAGCUCGGAUGAGUUCGGAAAUGGGUCAUCUCGGAUGAAAAACUAGGUCACAGGAGCUAAAAAUAGAAAAACCUUGUUAACACUCUAGUGGUCACAAUUUUGACUCAAUUGUUAGCAAACUUGGUCAGGAAACUUGCCUAGGUCAUUGCUGGGAAUAAAUCGAACAUGGGACAUCUCGGAUGAAAAACUAGGUCACAGGAGAUAAAAAUAGAAAAAUCUUGUUAACACUCUAGUGGCUACUGUUGUGAUCCAAAUAUUCUGUUAAUUGGUCUAAAAGUUUGUUUUGAUGAUUUCUAAGUCAAGAUCCAACAUGGGUCAUCUUGGAUGAAAAACUAGGUCACACUGCCCAAAUAUGGAAAAGCCUUGUUAACAUUCUACUGGUCACAUUUUCGACUCAAUUAUCAUCAAACUUGGUCAGGAUGCUUAUCUAGGUAAUUGCUUGGAUGAGUUCGAAAUCGCAUGUGAAACUAGGUCACCGGAGCUAAAAAUAGAAAAAUCUUGUUAACACUCUUGUUGCUACUGUUUUGAUCCAAGUAUCCUGGAAAUUGGUCUGACAGUUUGUUUUGAUGAUUUCUAGGUCAAGUUUGAAUAUGUGUCACCUGAGUAAAAAACAAGGUCGCACUGCUCAAAUAUGGAUAAUCCUUGUUAACACUGUAGUGGUCACAUUUUUGACUCACCUGUCAUGAGACUUGGUCAGAAUGUUUGUCUAGGUAAUUGUUUGGACGAGUUUGAUAAGUCAGGUGAGCGAUCUAGGGCUAUCAUGGCCCUCUUGUUUUGUAUGGUUUUAUUUAAGAAAUAUUUUGUUCCAGUUAUUUACAGAUGUUUGUAUGAUUAUUGGAUUAAAGUUAAAGUACA
Ruditapes philippinarum (Manila clam) is the source of this 4982-nucleotide long non-coding RNA. RefSeq lists it as uncharacterized. Lineage: Eukaryota; Metazoa; Mollusca; Bivalvia; Venerida; Veneridae. The transcript has 2 exons. The record is from RefSeq and is a predicted model, not a curated record.